RNAcentral lists this ribosomal RNA (253 nucleotides) under uncultured bacterium. RNAcentral describes it as "partial 16S ribosomal RNA". It matches the Rfam family "Bacterial small subunit ribosomal RNA", at positions 524 to 776 of the family's 1533-position model. The record is from RNAcentral.
UACGUAGGGGGCAAGCGUUGUCCGGAUUUAUUGGGCGUAAAGCGCUCGCAGGUGGUUCAUUGCGUCGUGCGUGAAAGACCCCGGCUCAACUGGGGAGGGUCGUGCGAAACGGGUGAACUAGAGGCCAGUAGGGGGAUGCGGAAUUCCUGGUGUAGCGGUGAAAUGCGCAGAUAUCAGGAAGAACACCUAUGGCGAAGGCAGCUCUCUGGGACGGUACUGACGCUGAGACGCGAAAGCGUGGGGAGCGAACAGG